AGGACAAACGCUGGCGGCGUGUAUUAGGCAUGCAAGUCGCACGGCACCUUCGGGUGCAGUGGCGGACGGGUGAGUAACACGUGGGUAACCUGCCUCGUAGUGGGGAAUAACUCGCCGAAAGGCGAGCUAAUACCGCAUAUUACUCUCGGUGAGAAUCCGAGAAGUAAAAGUCGUAAGGCGCUACGAGAGGGGCCCGCGGCCGAUUAGCUUGUUGGUGGGGUAACGCCUACCAAGGCGACGAUCGGUAGCUGGUCUGAGAGGAUGGUCAGCCACGACGGGGACUGAGAUACCGGGCCCCACUCCGUACGGGAGGCAGCAGCUAAGAAUCGUUGCGACAAGUGGGACGAAAGCCUGACGCAGCAACGCCGCGG
Molecule: ribosomal RNA, 371 nt
Filed under: uncultured soil bacterium
Lineage: Bacteria
Description: bacterial SSU rRNA
Rfam family: Bacterial small subunit ribosomal RNA
Source: RNAcentral